Molecule: small RNA, 83 nt
Filed under: Cricetulus griseus (Chinese hamster)
Lineage: Eukaryota; Metazoa; Chordata; Mammalia; Rodentia; Cricetidae
Source: RNAcentral
UCUCCCUUUCAAGUACUAACCAUGCCCGACCUGCUUAGCUUCCAAGAUCAGAGGAGAUUCGGUGUGUUCAGGGUGGUAUGGCC